GAUGAAGAACGUAGCGAAAUGCGAUAAGUAGUGUGAAUUGCAGAAUUCAGUGAAUCAUCGAAUCUUUGAACGCACAUUGCGCCCUUUGGUAUUCCUUAGGGCAUGCCUGUUCGAGCGUCAUUUAAACCCUUCAAGCUCAGCUUGGUGUUGGGUGACUGUCCGCCGCCCCCGGGCGCGGACUCGCCCCAAAUUCAUUGGCGGCCGGUACGUAGGCUUCGAGCGCAGCAGAACCGCGAACUCGGGCCCGCGGUGUCGGCUCCCAGAAGCCAUCUCUUUUAUUUUGACCUCGGAUCAGGUAGGGAUACCCGCUGAACUUAAGCAUAUCAAUAAGCGGAGGA
RNAcentral lists this unclassified non-coding RNA (338 nucleotides) under soil metagenome. Its description in RNAcentral is "partial contains 5.8S ribosomal RNA, internal transcribed spacer 2, and large subunit ribosomal RNA". The stretch from base 1 to 120 matches the Rfam family "5.8S ribosomal RNA", at positions 35 to 154 of the family's 154-position model. The record is from RNAcentral.